Molecule: long non-coding RNA, 544 nt
Organism: Nematostella vectensis (starlet sea anemone)
Lineage: Eukaryota; Metazoa; Cnidaria; Anthozoa; Actiniaria; Edwardsiidae
Exons: 2
Source: RefSeq, a predicted model, not a curated record
GUUGCCCUCUGCUGUGGACUAGUUGUACAUCCCCUCCUCUCCUGAUUUCGAGCACCUGAAUUCUUUUGUAGGGGGUUACACCACAGAUGGGCCCCCCAGAUGACAUUCGUUUUGACCUUCCCCCUAAGAACCUGUCUAGGCUAAAAAUAGGUUCUUAUUACCAGUUUAUGUUUGUAUUCUUAAUACCGCAAAAAUCUCAAAAUACUAAAAUUUACCGAUUUCAUUAACAGGGCGGACACUACCAGGCCACCUUUUCCGACCUUUGGUUGGUAGUGUUGUGCCCAACCCUUGCUGGAGACCCAGAAGUAAGGGCCACUAUUGACUUAAGCAAUGUUACCCAGGAUCGCAUACAAGCUGCUGUAGCAGAGGCUGAGGCGAGACUGGCCCUUACAACCGAAUCAAUGUGAGUUUUGUUGAUUGUCUUGAAUCACCAUCACCAUCCGAAAUGCCAGUGGAAGAAUCAUUGAAAGAAAUGACGAUCCUAUUGACGUUGUAGACGCAACGACACUAAUGGUCUUUCAUGACUUGGGUAUACUAGGAGCAA